GAUGAAGAACGUAGCGAAAUGCGAUAAGUAAUGUGAAUUGCAGAAUUCAGUGAAUCAUCGAAUCUUUGAACGCACAUUGCGCCCCCUGGUAUUCCGGGGGGCAUGCCUGUUCGAGUGUCAUUUCACCACUCAAGCCUCGCUUGGUAUUGGGCAACGCGGUCCGCCGCGUGCCUCAAAUCGACCGGCUGGGUCUUCUGUCCCCUAAGCGUUGUGGAAACUAUUCGCUAAAGGGUGUUCGGGAGGCUACGCCGUAAAACAACCCCAUUUCUAAGGUUGACCUCGGAUCAGGUAGGGAUACCCGCUGAACUUAAGCAUAUCAAUAAGCGGAGGA
This 331-nucleotide unclassified non-coding RNA is filed under the name soil metagenome. Its description in RNAcentral is "partial contains 5.8S ribosomal RNA, internal transcribed spacer 2, and large subunit ribosomal RNA". The stretch from base 1 to 120 matches the Rfam family "5.8S ribosomal RNA", at positions 35 to 154 of the family's 154-position model. The record is from RNAcentral.